AUGUCGGACACCUCUUCACGACAACUUCCUAUCUUCAUCUUCCUCAAAACUCCACCACCAAAGCAACACACAUGGAAUCCACCUGAUGCAGUUUCGUUGGAGUUUUCGUCACUAGGUGUUUUGAUGUUUGUAUUGAAGAAAAGGAUGGUUGAGCUUAACAUGUGUUGCGCGGUAAAUAGAGAUUGGGGAGUGUUGUCCAGUCAUGAUACUCUCUAUCCUAUAUGCACUCCUUGUCAAGUAGCAUGUCUAUUUGUUUAG
Vicia faba (fava bean) is the source of this 258-nucleotide non-coding RNA. The record is from the annotation of a GenBank genome assembly. NCBI's taxonomy places the organism in Eukaryota, Viridiplantae, Streptophyta, Magnoliopsida, Fabales, Fabaceae.